This 949-nucleotide small RNA is filed under the name Histoplasma capsulatum var. duboisii H88. Its description in RNAcentral is "Histoplasma capsulatum H88 hypothetical RNA". Lineage: Eukaryota; Fungi; Ascomycota; Eurotiomycetes; Onygenales; Ajellomycetaceae. The record is from RNAcentral.
UCCAUAUACAGGCGAUGCGAUAAGAUCAUGCAGAGGAGCUAUAUCGUCUUCAUAUCCCCAUAUUCGAUUCGAUAUAGCAGCCUUAGACGCGGGUGCUACAAUUCUACUUCUUCCCCUGGCCGGUGAGAGAUAAGGUUGAACCUCGGCUCCCUUCCCGUGAAGGCAAAACGCGUGAAAAGGAGCAGAUGAGUGCAGAUGAAAGGCAGCAAAAGAGAAAGGACAGCACAUGGAAUGAGAUGAGCCCUCUGGAGUGAAGAGUUCCCGGAGUUGAUGUUGUGUUGUUUUGGUCCCCCCGCGACGUUAGGAAAAGGCGGCGGCAUCGCGCAUUGGCCCGGACACGGGUAUGAAUGUAUGUACACAUAGCGUGUACAUAGCGUGUACAUAGGGAUGCACGCAUCUCUACCUCACUAGAGCCAUAUUGAAGGCAAGAUUCUGCAUAUCUCUUCAAACGGGUGCUGAAUGAUUGCAGCGAAGCCCUCAACGAAAGCAAAUUCCCUCUUGUCAUCUUGUCUGCCGAUUCUACCAGGGCUGGGCCCUGUCCAUUCCACUCCCACAUGCCAGUUAGGAGCACAUUGGUUUUGAUACGCAAAACCGAACAGAGGGAAGGAGAAGCAAAUUGCGGAAGUUUACCUCACCAAGGCAUUGGGUAAUUGUGGCGACUUGAAAUAUGUAUAGACACCAUGCCCAUGGAUGGAUAUCACGGCUAUACAUGCAGUCCAUAUGUGUAACUGAAAAUAUACCCUUCUAAGACGGACAGAAACAGACAGCAAAAACAUAUGAAUCGAGAAAAUAUGUUCCUUCAGAGGUCAAGUAGGCUAGGGUUUCAAGAGACAGUUGAGUGAUAAGUCAAAUCAGAAGCAACGUUUCCAUCACAUUAACAGAGAGGUGAACCUCUAGGCCUAUUUUCAUAGAAACGGCCAUAGUAGAAGGGGGGAAAAACAAUGGGAAU